GUAGGGGGGGCGAGCGUUGUCCGGAUUUAUUGGGCGUAAAGAGCUCGUAGGCGGGCUUGGCAAGUCGGCCGUGAAAGUCCGAGGGCUCAACCUCGGAACGCCGGUCGAAACUGCCAUGGCUAGGGUCCGGUAGAGGAGAGUGGAAUUCCCGGUGUAGCGGUGAAAUGCGCAGAUAUCGGGAGGAACACCAGUAGCGAAGGCGGCUCUCUGGGCCGGUACCGACGCUGAGGAGCGAAAGCGUGGGGAGCAAACAGGAUUAGAUACCCUGGUAGUCCACGCCGUAAACGUUGGGCACUAGGUGUGGCGAGUUAUACCAACGCUUGCUGUGCCGUAGCUAACGCAUUAAGUGCCCCGCCUGGGGAGUACGGUCGCAAGGCUA
This 379-nucleotide ribosomal RNA is filed under the name uncultured organism. Its description in RNAcentral is "partial 16S ribosomal RNA". It matches the Rfam family "Bacterial small subunit ribosomal RNA", at positions 525 to 896 of the family's 1533-position model. The record is from RNAcentral.